UUCCGCUGGCGCCGUUUUUAUAAAAUCCCUCCUUUUUCCCCCUUCUUUUCCCCAAAAUUUCAAAUGAAAUCCCACCCGAAAUCUUUCUUCUUUUUUCCCCGUUUUAUUUUUCCCAAACCAUUUCUCCUUUAUUUUUUGCCCCCAAUUUCCCCAAAUCGACAGCCCUCUGCAUCUCUGUUGGUCCCGCCCAUUUUCGCAGCCUCGACUUCGGUGAACGAAACGACUACCUCAAAGGCGUCGUCACCGAUGUUAUCCAUGACCCAGGUCGCGGUGCGCCCUUAGCUUGCGUCGUGUUCCGUCAUCCAUUCCGUUACAAGAAGCAGAAGGGACUGUUUGUCAUAUUUUAUUUCUCUUUUAGUUAGAUUGAUGUCGAUGUGAAUGAGGGGGAUUUGAUUGUUACUAGCUUUUUGAGAUCGAAGUUGAAAUCAAUGUUGUGAACUUUUGUGGUUUGAUAGGUGAAGUACUGUUCAGAGAACAACAAGCGUCUGAUUCACUUCUCUACUUGUGAAGUGUAUGGAAAAACUAUUGGAAGCUUUCUUCCUAAAGAUUCUCCUCUCCGUCAGGAUCCUGCCUACUAUGUUCUUAAGGAAGAUACUUCCCCCUGCAUUUUUGGUUCAAUUGAGAAGCAGAGGUGGUCCUAUGCAUGUGCUAAGCAGUUGAUUGAGAGGCUCAUUUAUGGUUAGCCCUUGUUUGACAAGGAACUGAACAAGUAAGUUGCUAUUAAAGUUAUUGAUUUAGAAGAAUCGUAAAUGGAUACCUUUGUUAUAUUUUCCUUGAUUUAUUCCUCAUUAAAGUGUCUUGUAGCAGGUGCUUGCUAUGAGCAGCAAAGUAUGAAUGAAUGUGAUUAUCAACUUUACAAAUAUACAUAGUAAAGUUUAAAGUAUGAAUCGAAUUGCUAUGAGCAGCAAAUUUAGGGAUAAAACAACGUCACACCAAAUUGCUAUGAGCAGCAAAGAAAAUUUUUUCAAUUGCAGAAAACCAACUUCCCUUCUUUCCCAUACUGCCAGAAAAUUUAGGGACCGCACGACUUGUGGUUGAUUUCGAUAGGUGGUGGACUGGUGAGGAACCUGUGAAUGUUCUCUUAGAAGCCGCAGGCCAAGGUCCAAUCUACAUCUGAUGGAGCUGAUUCCACUCUUUCAAACCCCCUGUGUGAGGAGUCUGCUCAAAAUUCUUCAAAAUACUCUAACAGACAGAGGUUUGAUUGUGGCAUGUUUAUGUAUUCUUUAUAUCAACUUCUAUAGCAGAGGCUUAAGUCUUUGUUUUGAGCAAGAACACAUGCCCUAUGCCCUAUUUUCGUUUAAGGACCGCCAAGGAAAUUCUGAAACUGAAAGCUGAUUGAUCGGAUGUGUAUGCCGGCUUUCAUCAACUACUUUCGAAGGCCUUACUAGGAAUUGAAAUGGUGUGCAAAGAGAUUGCAUCUUUUGAUCUGAUUUUUCGAUAUAAAUAUUGGAUAAAGUAUGGAUAUUUUACUUCUGUUAGUAAAAUAGGAUUCUCUUCUUAGGAUCUUAGUUUCUUCACUUGUAUUAGAUUCAACAAUGGCUUGCAUUGCAUUGGUGUUGAUUUUACCAAAAUUUCGAGGUUUACAAUUUUUAAUUUUUAUUAAUUAUUUACGUUUUCUCACUUU
Gossypium raimondii (Peruvian cotton) is the source of this 1624-nucleotide long non-coding RNA. RefSeq lists it as uncharacterized. The transcript has 6 exons. Lineage: Eukaryota; Viridiplantae; Streptophyta; Magnoliopsida; Malvales; Malvaceae. The record is from RefSeq and is a predicted model, not a curated record.